RNAcentral lists this ribosomal RNA (597 nucleotides) under uncultured Lachnospiraceae bacterium. Its description in RNAcentral is "bacterial SSU rRNA". It matches the Rfam family "Bacterial small subunit ribosomal RNA", at positions 88 to 705 of the family's 1533-position model. The record is from RNAcentral. Lineage: Bacteria; Bacillati; Bacillota; Clostridia; Lachnospirales; Lachnospiraceae.
UGACUGAGCGGCGGACGGGUGAGUAACGCGUGGGUAACCUGCCUCAUACAGGGAAUAACAGUUAGAAAUGGCUGCUAAUGCCGCAUAAGCGCACAGGACCGCAUGGUCUGGUGUGAAAAACUCCGGUGGUAUGAGAUGGACCCGCGUCUGAUUAGGUAGUUGGCGGGGUAACGGCCCACCAAGCCGACGAUCAGUAGCCGACCUGAGAGGGUGACCGGCCACAUUGGGACUGAGACACGGCCCAGACUCCUACGGGAGGCAGCAGUGGGGAAUAUUGCACAAUGGAGGAAACUCUGAUGCAGCGACGCCGCGUGAAGGAAGAAGUAUCUCGGUAUGUAAACUUCUAUCAGCAGGGAAGAAAAUGACGGUACCUGACUAAGAAGCCCCGGCUAACUACGUGCCAGCAGCCGCGGUAAUACGUAGGGGGCAAGCGUUAUCCGGAUUUACUGGGUGUAAAGGGAGCGUAGACGGACGGGCAAGUCUGAUGUGAAAGCCCGGGGCUUAACCCCGGGACUGCAUUGGAAACUGUCCAUCUUGAGUGCCGGAGAGGUAAGCGGAAUUCCUAGUGUAGCGGUGCAUGCGUAGAUAUUAGGAGGA